AUGCUCACAUAGGCAGCACAUAUACUAAAACUGGAAUGAUACAGAGAGAUUAGCAUGGCCCCUCUGGAAGGAUGACACACAAAUUCAUGAACUAUUCCAUAAUUUU
Chionomys nivalis (European snow vole) is the source of this 106-nucleotide small nuclear RNA. The record is from RefSeq and is a predicted model, not a curated record. NCBI's taxonomy places the organism in Eukaryota, Metazoa, Chordata, Mammalia, Rodentia, Cricetidae.